UUUUCAAGCAGCUGUCAAACCCCCAGAGCGCACCCGUCCCUGUAGCAAAAGGGUGGGAAGACUUGAAAAUAGAGGCAAAAAGCCAACCGAGCUUGGUGAUAGCUGGCUACUCAACAAAAGAAUUUAGUUCAACUUUAGGCACUUAUGAGCCAAUCAUUCAACAACUCACUUCCCAUAAACCUAAAGAAAAUCAAUGGGGGUACAGCCCCAUUGAACCGGGAUACAGCCCGAAUUGAGAGAACCCCCCCCCUUUUUUUUCCUGUAGACUUCAAAGCAGCCACCAAAGAAUCGCGUUAUAGCAUAUUUACCAAACAAUUCUAACAACUUAAUAACCCUCCUACUUACAACGAGUUAUUCUAUACUACUAUAGAAAUACCAAUGCUAAAAUUAGUAAUAAGAAACACUUAUUUCUCUCUGCACCCCCUUAAAUCAGACUAGAAAAACUACUGAUAAUUAACAAACUAAAUAAACAAACACACACCUAUCUAGCCAAAAUGUUACUAAAAACUUGUUACCCCAACACAGGUGUGCAAAAAAGAAAGACGAAAUCCCGUAAAAGGAACUCGGCAAAACUUAAUCCCAACUGUUUACCAAAAACAUAGCCUUUAGCCCACUAAGUAUUAAAGGUCUCGCCUGCCCAGUGACUCUUUAAACGGCCGCGGUAUCCUAACCGUGCAAAGGUAGCAUAAUCACUUGUCCCUUAAAUAGGGACUGGAAUGAAUGGCUAAAUGAGGAUUAAACUGUCUCUUACGGGUUGUCAAUGAAAUUGAUUUUCCAGUACAAAAGCUGGAAUAAACACAUAAGACGAGAAGACCCUGUGGAGCUUCAAAACCAAGUUCAUUAAACAUGCUCCUUGGAUUUUUAGUUGGGGCGACUUUGGAGUAUAAAAAACCCUCCAAACAUAUUAAACCUAUAAUAUUAAGAACAACAAAUCAAAACCACAAAAGACCCAGCAACAGCCCUAAUGUUGUCUGAUCAAUGAACCAAGUUACCCCAGGGAUAACAGCGCCAUCCCCUUCUAGAGUCCUUAUCGACAAGGGGGUUUACGACCUCGAUGUUGGAUCAGGACACCCCAACGGUGCAGCCGCCAUUAAAGGUUCGUUUGUUCAACGAUUAAAGUCCUA
This 1124-nucleotide ribosomal RNA is filed under the name Darevskia derjugini. RNAcentral describes it as "partial 16S ribosomal RNA". It matches the Rfam family "Bacterial large subunit ribosomal RNA", at positions 733 to 2598 of the family's 2925-position model. The record is from RNAcentral. Lineage: Eukaryota; Metazoa; Chordata; Lepidosauria; Squamata; Lacertidae.